RNAcentral lists this non-coding RNA (257 nucleotides) under Trypanosoma congolense IL3000. Lineage: Eukaryota; Euglenozoa; Kinetoplastea; Trypanosomatida; Trypanosomatidae. The record is from RNAcentral.
GCCGGGCGUGGUGGCGCACGCCUUUAAUCCCAGCAUUUGGGAGGCAGAGGCAGGCGGAUUUCUGAGUUCGAGGCCAGCCUGGUCUACAAAGUGAGUUCCAGGACAGCCAGAGCUACACAGAGAAACCCUUUCUCAAAAAACCAAAAAAAAAAAAAAAAAAAAAGAGAUGCAGAUGCAUCAGAAGAACAGACCACCAGGCCGUGAUGUUGCUGAGCUGGUUUUGGACAGUUUGCUUUAGGUCCACAGGCCUCGCCUGG